GCAACGCUGGCGGCAGGCUAUACAUGCGAUUAGAACGGAUCCUUCGGGAUCAGUGGCGGACGGGUGAGUAACACGUGGGAACGUGCCCUUUGGUUCGGAACAACUCAGGGAAACUUGAGCUAAUACCGGAUGUGCCCUUCGGGGGAAAGAUUUAUCGCCAUUGGAGCGGCCCGCGUCUGAUUAGCUAGUUGGUGGGGUAAAGGCCCACCAAGGCGACGAUCAGUAGCUGGUCUGAGAGGAUGAUCAGCCACAUUGGGACUGAGACACGGCCCAAACUCCUACGGGAGGCAGCAGUGGGGAAUCUUGCGCAAUGGGCGAAAGCCUGACGCAGCCAUGCCGCGUGAAUGAUGAAGGUCUUAGGAUUGUAAAAUUCUUUCACCGGGGACGAUAAUGACGGUACCCGGAGAAGAAGCCCCGGCUAACUUCGUGCCAGCAGCCGCGGUAAUACGAAGGGGGCUAGCGUUGCUCGGAAUUACUGGGCGUAAAGGGAGCGUAGGCGGACUGUUAAGUUAGAGGUGAAAGACCCAGGGCUCAAACCUUGUGAAUUGCCUUUUGAUACCUAGGCAGCUCUUGGAGUACGGAAAGAGGUACUGUGGGAACUCCGGAGUGUAGAGGUGAAAUUCGGAGAUAUUCGGAAGAACAC
This 643-nucleotide ribosomal RNA is filed under the name uncultured Caulobacter sp. Its description in RNAcentral is "bacterial SSU rRNA". It matches the Rfam family "Bacterial small subunit ribosomal RNA", at positions 29 to 709 of the family's 1533-position model. Lineage: Bacteria; Pseudomonadati; Pseudomonadota; Alphaproteobacteria; Caulobacterales; Caulobacteraceae. The record is from RNAcentral.